This 231-nucleotide long non-coding RNA is filed under the name Capsicum annuum. Its description in RNAcentral is "long non-coding RNA (CANN_LNC010244)". The record is from RNAcentral. Lineage: Eukaryota; Viridiplantae; Streptophyta; Magnoliopsida; Solanales; Solanaceae.
CUUUCCCCAAUUAAAAUCAAAGGAAAUUUACUGCUUAAUUGAGGUUAUGUUAAAGCAAUGAUGGGCACCGCAGUUUGCAAUAUUACGUGUAUGAUUAUAUAUAGUACUAUAAUUUUAGAAUGGUUUCUUCCUUGUAUAUUGAUUUUACUUCAUUUCCUAGACGUUCACUUUCGUCGACGUUCACUUUUUUUAUUAUUAGGAAAAAAGGUCAAAGUUAUUCCUCUAUAAAAU